GCUUUGUGAUGGCCCCCAAGCGUAGGUGAGGUAGGCGCACGGCGGUGACAAGGCAUGCGGCCAGUGGAACUGCCUUACAGUUACAGCCCGCCCAAGCGCGGUUGUUGCCUUGCCAUGAUUUCCGUGCAGUCUGCUAGCUUCGGCAGGGACGGUGCCCAUCAGUUCCCGAUGUUGACAAACCAUGCAUCCAGCCGCCCACACGUGCUCUCCGUUCGUCACAUACCGUACUCGAACUCCAAUGUCCGCAGAGCGUGUGCGCGAAAUCCACACGCCACACACGCAAGUGACAGCCGCCCGUCCUUGCACAGCAAGCAUCUCCGCGCACGGUCGCACGCUUCUCUAGCCCCAACGAACCGCAAACCACAAAUCAAGUCACACCCACCUCAGCAUUAGAAGUGCACACCCGCCUAUCGAAUGUCGGAUGAUGAUAAGGCAACAAGUAGGUCUAGAGAAAUGAAAGCUAGUAGGUCUACUGCACCCAUGCAUGGAUGGAAAGAAUCAAUGGACCUGUGGAUAUAGGAUCCGGCCUCCUCAAGGGUCCUCGCGCAUUUACUAAAGAGCCAAGGGGUCUAGUAUGUAAGAAUCAAUGCCAGUCUCAAGUCAAGCACACUGAUGCCGGUUCCUGGCAUCUGGAAUGCCAGAAGGGUCGGAGGAACUUGCACACACAGAACGUACACGUCGUGUCACUGACAGCCCACUCGAGUCUCGUAAACAGAAAACAUAGUGCCCGCUCCUGCAGCGAGCCAAGAUACGGUAACCUCGAUACUUCUUUGUGUGUCACCGCGGUACGCGCACACACACGGAUCCACGGGCUUCCUCUCCGCACUCCUUCUGUCACACCCGUGCGAUAGAUCGUUUCGGACGUCACCUCUCCUCCGUCCCAUUACGAACCUGUAGCCCCAGGCAGCCCUGCGUCCAUUGGCACAGCGCCCCUCGCCACCUGCCACCCUCCCGCUCAGCAAAUAAACGCACGCGCGAGAGCAAAACACCAGCAGGUCCAUAGUAUGGCCAAGGGAGGCUGCCGGUUCCCCGGUCCCAUACAGUCACACAUACAUCUUAUUAAGAAACAUCAGCAGGGUUUAGUUGGCAAGUCUCAGUAGAGAAAUAGACAUCCAUACAUCACCCAAUGCGCGUGGCAAUAUCGCACUGAGUGCUUGCUUGCGCUAGCAAUCCAGCAUCAAGUACGGCCUUUGACACUCCCGCUCGCUCACAUACGGUGAAAUAUCAGUACAGCACGGCAACACUUGCGCGAAUCAGUCCUGACUCCUGCGGUAAACGCCGACUACCGUAGCACGCCCUGCUGUCGUGCUGACAAUGAGAAAUGUGCGGCGGCACAGCCCUGCUGGUUCACUUGAUAGUGGGCCCGAUCAGUAGCUAGUAGCGGCGAUUUGCCUAGCUGUCUAUACUUGCACGCAUACGCUGCAGGCUUUGCCGCCUGCCAUUCAACACACUCCUCAUGCCCUGCUGCUGGCUCGCUUCGAUACUGUACCAUCCACACACGUACGUGUGAGGAGCCCCUCUUGCGCCCGGCCACCAGCACCAAAGCUGCGGCGGCUGCGGCUGCUACUGCUACUGCUGCAUCUUCAAAUGGCGAAGGCAGCAAGCCGCUGGCUGCAGGCUCAUGCAGCUGACGGCGUAACACGGAAGCCAAACGGAACGGAGCGGGCCUUGCCGCUACCAGGCCGCCACCGCUGCCGGUGGCGGGAAGCAGCCGCACGCGCGCUCCAACGCGGCAAACUCCUCCAGCUCCCUUUCCUGCUCGGCCCACGCCGCCGCCGCCAGCUCGAGCGGCCGCCGCUGGGGGUGCCGCCGGUACCGCUGGCAGCUGAUGCCGCCGCCGCCUGCUCCGCCAGGCCCUCCUUCAUCCAGUGUGCGAGCGACCCGAGGUCGAGCUCCUCCUCCUCCUCCUCAACGUCAUCCGCCCAGCGGCGGCCGCUGGGGGUGCCGCCGGUGCCGCUGACAGCUGCCGCCGCCGCCUGCUCCGCCAGGCCCUCCUUCAUCCAGUCUGCGAGCGACCCGAGGUCGAGCUCCUCCUCCGCCUCCUCGUGCGCCUCAACCUCAUCCGCCCAGCUACCGCUCGCGCCACCGCUGCUGCUAAUGCUGGCGCGAGGAGCAAUGCUGCUGCUGCUGCCGUCAGACUCUGACGCUGCCGCGGGCGCGGCCGGUGCGGCUUCCGCCUGCUGCUGCUCGGCCGCCGCGAGCUCCGCCAGUCCCUGCUUCACCCAGGGCGUCUGCUCAAAGAGGUCGCUCAGGUCGAGUCCGUCAGCCUCAUCCUCAUCAUCAUCGCCCCAUCGCGGCGUGGUCGAGCUGCGGUCGACGGUGGAGGUGGAGAUGGGGCUUGCAGCGGCGGCGGGCUUGGUCGGAGCCGCGAGCUUGGGCACCUUGGGCAGGCCGGGCGGCUUCUGCGGGCGCCAGUGGUUGUCGUAGGCAUGGCAAAGCUGGCAGGGGGCGCUCCUGCAGCCAGCAGAUAGGCUGGCAUAGCACCAGCGCAUGCAGGACUUGUGAGGAAAGCAGCAGGCGCUGGGGGCAGGCUCCUGCUGCUCCUGCUGGUGGGCGGCGGCGGAGGGCUCGCUCUCAUCAGAGCCGUGGCCUUGGCUGCGGGGCGUGUGGCGCCAGGCGUCCUGUGCAAACGAGAUCGGGGGAAAAGGAUAGAUGGGGGCGGACAAGCCGUGAGUGCACGGGACGAGGACAAGGGUCGGGGCGCAGAGGGCGGGACAAAGGACCGGGGGUCGGGGACUCGAGCCCCGGCAAAAAAGUCAGGCGCACCGGAAAGGCACGCGCUUUCGGUCAAAGCUGUUGACCGACGCAUUUUACGUGACAAUACAUGCAGCAAUAUGCAGCCAGUGUGGCCGCAGCAGCGCAAGAAGGAAGGCCGAGGAAGCCGAGCGCACUACCGUACUGGCCCGAAAUCUGCAACGCUAUCUAGCCCGCAUCAGAAGCCUAAUGCUUUGCAUGUGGCAUCGGAUACCCAUUGCAGUUGCUCAAGGCUCAAAAUGGCCGUGCCCGAACAUGAAUGGUGCUCACCUGCAUCGGUCGGCUCGGCUCGAAGUCAAGCCCCGGUGCACUUGCGCUUGACCGUGAUGUGGCCAUAGUAGCUCUUGACCGCAACAAGCACUCUUCGCGCGCAGAACUCGAUUCUGCUGCUAGCGCAAUUCUUUCGCUUGACGGAAACUUUUCCUCGCGGUGCCCGGGAGGGAUUCGCGCUAGGAGCUGCUAGUUCGUGACAGUGGUGGUGCUUGCCGCAGCUUUCAUGCGCAUGCGGUGGAAAUCGAGAGAGGUUGCGAACAGCCCUAGAAAUGCUCUUCUUUGCCGUCAGGUGCUCGUAGCUAAGCAGUGGGCGUAAAAGCUGUUUGCGAGAUGUCUUUGCAUCUGUUGAAUGUGCAAUAUGAGCACAGCGCGAAGCUUUUAUCCAGUGGCGGGGACAGUGUCUCGGGCGCCCAUGCAGGCGACACGCGCCCAAUCCCGAGCCUCCCUCCUCGCCUUUACCUUGUCCCUGGACCCGCGCCAUCCGUGUCCCGCUGUUCAAUUCCCGCGUUUCAUACCAGUUCCCCUCCCCUGCGCAGGCCGGUAACCCCUGAUCCCGCCGCUGCCGGGGAUGCAGCCGUGCAGGAUGAGGCCUGAUGAGGUUGACGGCUGGGGAAGUUGGUGUGGGGAAGUUGGUGUAGGUUGGCGGUGAUCCAGCGGGGUGGGUGCCGAUGUGCUAUAGCGGGCGCGAGGCUGUACACGUCAGGAUCUGGCGAGUGUACUGCUUAACACCUACCGCUACGCAGUACUCCGGCUUGCCCCUCCCCCCUCAGGGCGCUCCAUGCCGUGCGCCCCGGAAUGCGGUGUGGGGAUGGGGUGGGGUGGGAUGGACUGGCGGAUGGUGGAAGUAUCAUAUAGGUCUGCUGGGGGCUGCGAGCAGCCAUACUACCGGUCAUGAUAUUGCCUUCGGUAGCUCAGGGCGCCGCGGGCUGGGGGUGGGUAAGUGAGCGGGGAUGGGGGCUCGGACUCAGCGGGGGCACGGACUCAGGGCGUGGAAGCCAGCGAGAAGUGGGCGAGAGUAACGCCGAUGUGCCGGGUGAUGUGCGAGCAGAAUACAGAACGCGGCAUUCGUCAUUACGGGGAAACUAAAACAGAUAGCGCCAACCUUUUGCGCCUCGCGCUUUCGCGCGCAAUUUCCAGGAUCCUCCAACGCGUCGAUUCCUCCGUCUUGCGUCCUUCCGUGCCGGGAGCCUUGAUUAUCGAUACAAUUUGUGAUAUAUUGUAUGUUGCGCUGGAGCUCUAAUGCAAACGCUGCGCUUGUGCGUUUACCCCGCUCUGGCAUAGGGCUUGCGUUUUCAUAAUGUUACGCUUUGCAAUACAUACAUAGAAAGGCGCAUUAUUUGCACGACAAAUUCCGCUGCGCUCGGGUUUCAAGGUUAUAACUCAAGUCAAAACUGGAAUAACCGGGAGGGCCCCCCGCGGCGAGCUCGAUGCGACCGCAAUGGCUAUUGCCCCUCCCCCUUCGGGGGAAGGGGCAAGCCAACCUGGCUUUGUGAUGGCCCCCAAGCGUAGGUGAGGUAGGCGCACGGCGGUGACAAGGCAUGCGGCCAGUGGAACUGCCUUACAGUUACAGCCCGCCCAAGCGCGGUUGUUGCCUUGCCAUGAUUUCCGUGCAGUCUGCUAGCUUCGGCAGGGACGGUGCCCAUCAGUUCCCGAUGUUGACAAACCAUGCAUCCAGCCGCCCACACGUGCUCUCCGUUCGUCACAUACCGUACUCGAACUCCAAUGUCCGCAGAGCGUGUGCGCGAAAUCCACACGCCACACACGCAAGUGACAGCCGCCCGUCCUUGCACAGCAAGCAUCUCCGCGCACGGUCGCACGCUUCUCUAGCCCCAACGAACCGCAAACCACAAAUCAAGUCACACCCACCUCAGCAUUAGAAGUGCACACCCGCCUAUCGAAUGUCGGAUGAUGAUAAGGCAACAAGUAGGUCUAGAGAAAUGAAAGCUAGUAGGUCUACUGCACCCAUGCAUGGAUGGAAAGAAUCAAUGGACCUGUGGAUAUAGGAUCCGGCCUCCUCAAGGGUCCUCGCGCAUUUACUAAAGAGCCAAGGGGUCUAGUAUGUAAGAAUCAAUGCCAGUCUCAAGUCAAGCACACUGAUGCCGGUUCCUGGCAUCUGGAAUGCCAGAAGGGUCGGAGGAACUUGCACACACAGAACGUACACGUCGUGUCACUGACAGCCCACUCGAGUCUCGUAAACAGAAAACAUAGUGCCCGCUCCUGCAGCGAGCCAAGAUACGGUAACCUCGAUACUUCUUUGUGUGUCACCGCGGUACGCGCACACACACGGAUCCACGGGCUUCCUCUCCGCACUCCUUCUGUCACACCCGUGCGAUAGAUCGUUUCGGACGUCACCUCUCCUCCGUCCCAUUACGAACCUGUAGCCCCAGGCAGCCCUGCGUCCAUUGGCACAGCGCCCCUCGCCACCUGCCACCCUCCCGCUCAGCAAAUAAACGCACGCGCGAGAGCAAAACACCAGCAGGUCCAUAGUAUGGCCAAGGGAGGCUGCCGGUUCCCCGGUCCCAUACAGUCACACAUACAUCUUAUUAAGAAACAUCAGCAGGGUUUAGUUGGCAAGUCUCAGUAGAGAAAUAGACAUCCAUACAUCACCCAAUGCGCGUGGCAAUAUCGCACUGAGUGCUUGCUUGCGCUAGCAAUCCAGCAUCAAGUACGGCCUUUGACACUCCCGCUCGCUCACAUACGGUGAAAUAUCAGUACAGCACGGCAACACUUGCGCGAAUCAGUCCUGACUCCUGCGGUAAACGCCGACUACCGUAGCACGCCCUGCUGUCGUGCUGACAAUGAGAAAUGUGCGGCGGCACAGCCCUGCUGGUUCACUUGAUAGUGGGCCCGAUCAGUAGCUAGUAGCGGCGAUUUGCCUAGCUGUCUAUACUUGCACGCAUACGCUGCGGGUGUGCCUCACAUACCAUAAUACCCAGUGCUGCUUCUUUCGCAUAUAACACACGCUCAGCAUGCCCUGCUGGCUCACUUCGAUACUGUGCCAUCCACACACGUACGUGUGACGAGCCCCUCUUGCGAACGGCCGCCGGCACCACAGCUGCGGCGGCUGCGGCUGCUGCUGCUCCUGCUGCUGCUACUGCUACUGCUGCAUCUUCAAAUGGCGAGGGCAGCAAGCCGCUGGCUGCAGGGCUCAUGCAGCUGACGGCGUAACACGGAAGCCAAACGGAACGGAGCGGCCCUUGCCGCUACCAGGCCGCCACCGCUGCCGGUGGCGGGAAGCAGCCGCACGCGCGCUCCAACGCGGCAAACUCCUCCAGCUCCCGCUCCUGCUCAGCCCACGCCGCCGCCGCCAGCUCCAUCGCCAGGCGCAGGCGCGAGGGCAUCACAGCUGACUGCCACUCAUCACCCUGCUGCACCGCCGCGAUCGGCGGAACGACACAGCUGCCCAUGCUGCUGCCGGCGGCGGUGCAGGCCUCCUUGUCAGCGCUAUGCUCCUCCACUGCCGCCUCCACCAACUCCACCUGCUGCGGCGUCUCACUGCCUGCCGCCGCCGCCACCCAGACCAGACUGCAGCUGCUGGCGCUGCGGCUGGUGCGGGCGCUGUCCGGCACGGCGCAGCAGCACGAGCUGAGCGGCGAGUCAGGCGCGUCCAGCCGCUCAGUGACGACGGCCACCUCCUGCGCCGCUUCGGCCGCCGCCGGCACGCACUCGCCCUGGGCCUCUGCUUUCCCCAUCGCCGCCAGCUCCGCCGCCAUCCAGGGCGACAGCGAGGCGAGGUAGGCGCCGAAAUCGCCGGCCUCCUCCGCCUCAACGUCAUCCGCCCAGCGGCGGCCGUUGGGGAUGCCGCCGGUGCCGCUGGCAGCUGCCGCCGCCGCCUGCUCCGCCAGGCCCUCCUUCAGCCAAUCUGCGAGCGACCCGAGGUCGAGCUCCUCCUCCGCCUCCUCAUGCGCCUCAACCUCAUCCGCCCAGCUACCGCUCGCGCCACCGCUGCUGCUAAUGCUGGCGCGAGGAGCAAUGCUGCUGCUGCUGCUGCUGCUGCUGCUGCCGUCAGACUCUGACGCUGCCGCGGGCACGGCCGGUGCGGCUUCCGCCUGCUGCUGCUCGGCCGCCGCGAGCUCCGCCAGUCCCUGCUUCACCCAGGGCGUCUGCUCAAAGAGGUCGCUCAGGUCGAGUCCGUCAGCCUCAUCCUCAUCAUCAUCGCCCCAUCGCGGCGUGGUCGAGCUGCGGUCGACGGUGGAGGUGGAGAUGGGGCUUGCAGCGGCGGCGGGCUUGGUCGGGGCGGCGGGCUUGGUCGGAGCCGCGAGCUUGGGCACCUUGGGCAGGCCGGGCGGCUUCUGCGGGCGCCAGUGGUUGUCGUAGGCAUGGCAAAGCUGGCAAGGGGCGCUCCUGCAGCCAGCAGAUAGGCUGGCAUAGCACCAGCGCAUGCAGGACUUGUGAGGAAAGCAGCAGGCGCUGGGGGCGGGCUCCUGCUGCUCCUGCUGGUGGGCGGCGGCGGAGGGCUCGCUCUCAUCAGAGCCGUGGCCUUGGCUGCGGGGCGUGUGGCGCCAGGCGUCCUGUGCAAACGAGAUCGGGGGAAAAGGAUAGAUGGGGGCGGACAAGCCGUGAGUGCACGGGACGAGGACAAGGGUCGGGGCGCAGAGGGCGGGAGAAAGGGCCGGGGGUCGGGGGCUCGGGCCCCGGCAAAAAAGUCAGGCGCACCGGAAAGGCACGCGCUUUCGGUCAAAGCUGUUGACCGACGCAUUUUACGAGACAAUACAUGCAGCAAUAUGCAGCCAGUGUGGCCGCAGCAGCGCAAGAAGGAACGCCGAGGAAGCUGAGCGCACUACUGGCCCGAAAUCUGCAACGCUAUCUAGCCCGCAUCAGAAGCCUAAUGCUUUGCAUGUGGCAUCGGAUACCCAUUGCAGCUGCUCAAGGCUCAAAAUGGCCGUGCCCGAACAUGAAUGGUGCUCACCUGCAUCGGUCGGCUCGGCUCGAAGUCAAGCCCCGGUGCACUUGCGAUUGACCGUGAUGUGGCCAUAGUAGCUCUCGACCGCACCAAGCACUCUUCGCGCGCAGAACUCGAUUCUGCUGCUAGCGCAAUUCUUUCGCUUGACGGAAACUUUUCCUCGCGGUGCCCGGGAGGGAUUCGCGCUAGGAGCUGCUAGCUCGUGACAGUGGUGGUGCUUGCCGCAGCUUUCAUGCGCAUGCGGUGGAAAUCGAGAGAGGUCGCGAACAGCCCUAGAAAUGCUCUUCUUUGCCGUCAGGUGCUCGUAGCUAAGCAGUGGGCGUAAAAGCUGUUUGUGAGAUGUCUUUGCAUCUGUUGAAUGUGCAAUAUGAGCACAGCGCGAAGCUUUUAUCCAGUGGCGGGGACAGGGUCUCGGGCGCCCAUGCAGGCGACACGCGCCCAAUCCCGAGCCUCCCACUCCUCGCCUGUACCUUGUCCCUGGACCCGCGCCAUCCGUGUCCCGCUGUUCAAUUCCCGCGUUUCAUACCAGCUCCCCUCCCCUGCGUAGGCCGGUAACCCCUGAUCCCGCCGCUGCCGGGGAUGCAGCCGUGCAGGAUGAGGUUGACGGCUGGGGAAGUUGUUGUGGGGAAGUUGGUGUAGGUUGGCGGUGAUCCAGCGGGGUGGGUGCCGAUGUGCUAUAGCGGGCGCGAGGCUGUACACGUCAGGAUCUGGCGAGUGUACUGCUCAAGCUGGCUUUGUGAUGGCCCCCAAGCGUAGGUGAGGUAGGCGCACGGCGGUGACAAGGCAUGCGGCCAGUGGAACUGCCUUACAGUUACAGCCCGCCCAAGCGCGGUUGUUGCCCUGCCAUGAUUUCCGUGCAGUCUGCUAGCUUCGGCAGGGACGGUGCCCAUCAGUUCCCGAUGUUGACAAACCAUGCAUCCAGCCGCCCACACGUGCUCUUCGUUCGUCACAUACCGUACUCGAACUCCAAUGUCCACAGAGCGUGUGCGCGAAAUCCACACGCCACACACGCAAGUGACAGCCGCCCGUCCUUGCACAGCAAGCAUCUCCGCGCACGGUCGCACGCUUCUCUAGCCCCAACGAACCGCAAACCACAAAUCAAGUCACACCCACCUCAGCAUUAGAAGUGCACACCCGCCUAUCGAAUGUCGGAUGAUGAUAAGGCAACAAGUAGGUCUAGAGAAAUGAAAGCUAGUAGGUCUACUGCACCCAUGCAUGGAUGGAAAGAAUCAAUGGACCUGUGGAUAUAGGAUCCGGCCUUCUCAAGGGUCCUCGCGCAUUUACUAAAGAGCCAAGGGGUCUAGUAUGUAAGAAUCAAUGCCAGUCUCAAGUCAAGCACACUGCUGCCGCUUCCUGGCAUCUGGAAUGCCGGAAGGGUCGGAGGAACUUGCACCCACAGAACGUACACGUCGUGUCACUGACAGCCCACUCGAGUCUUGUAAACAGUAAGAAUAGUGCCCGCUCCUGCAGCGAGCCAAGAUACGGUAACCUCGAUACUUCUUUGUGUCUCACCGCGGUACGCGCACAGACAUUAAUCUGCGGGCUCCCUCUCCGCACUCCUUCUGUCACUCCCGUGCGUCAGGUCGUUUCCGACGUCGCCUCCACUCCAUCUCCUACGUCCCAUGACUCACCUGUAGCCCCAGGCAGCCCUGCGUCCAUUGGCACAGCGCCCCUCGCCACCUGCCACCCUCUCGCUCAGCAAAUGAACGCACGCACGAUAGCAAAACACCAGCAGUCCGUAGUAUGGCCAAGGGGGGCUGCCGGUUCCCCGGUCCCAUACAGUCACACAUACAUCUUAUUAAGAAACAUCAGCAGGGUUUAUUUGGCGAGUCUCAGUAGAGAAAUAGACAUCCCUACAUCACCCAAUGCGCAUGGCAAUAUCGCACUGAGUGCUUGCUUGCGCAAGCAAUCCAGCAUCAAGUGCGGCCUUUGACACUCCCGCUCGCUCACAUACGGUGUAUUAUCAGUACAGCACGGCAACACUCGCGCGAAUCAGUCCUGUCUCCUGCGGUAAACGCCGACUACCGUAGCACGCCCUGCUGUCGUGCUGACAAUGAGAAAUGUGCGGCGGCACAGCCCUGCUGGUUCACUUGAUAGUGAAUGGGCCCGAUCAGUAGCUAGUAGCGGCGAUUAGCCUAGCUGUCUAUACUUGCACGCAUACGCUGCGGGUGUGCCUCACAUACCAUAAUACCCAGUGCUGCUUCUUUCGCAUAUAACACACGCUCAGCAUGCCCUGCUGGCUCACUUCGAUACUGUGCCAUCCACACACGUACGUGUGACGAGCCCCUCUUGCGAACGGCCGCCGGCACCACAGCUGCGGCGGCUGCGGCUGCUGCUGCUCCUGCUGCUGCUACUGCUACUGCUGCAUCUUCAAAUGGCGAGGGCAGCAAGCCGCUGGCUGCAGGGCUCAUGCAGCUGACGGCGUAACACGGAAGCCAAACGAAACGGAGCGGCCCUUGCCGCUACCAGGCCGCCACCGCUGCCGGUGGCGGGAAGCAGCCGCACGCGCGCUCCAACGCGGCAAACUCCUCCAGCUCCCGCUCCUGCUCAGCCCACGCCGCCGCCGCCAGCUCCAUCGCCAGGCGCAGGCGCGAGGGCAUCACAGCUGACUGCCACUCAUCACCCUGCUGCACCGCCGCGAUCGGCGGAACGACACAGCUGCCCAUGCUGCUGCCGGCGGCGGUGCAGGCCUCCUUGUCAGCGCUAUGCUCCUCCACUGCCGCCUCCACCAACUCCACCUGCUGCGGCGUCUCACUGCCUGCCGCCGCCGCCACCCAGACCAGACUGCAGCUGCUGGCGCUGCGGCUGGUGCGGGCGCUGUCCGGCACGGCGCAGCAGCACGAGCUGAGCGGCGAGUCAGGCGCGUCCAGCCGCUCAGUGACGACGGCCACCUCCUGCGCCGCUUCGGCCGCCGCCGGCACGCACUCGCCCUGGGCCUCUGCUUUCCCCAUCGCCGCCAGCUCCGCCGCCAUCCAGGGCGACAGCGAGGCGAGGUAGGCGCCGAAAUCGCCGGCCUCCUCCGCCUCAACGUCAUCCGCCCAGCGGCGGCCGUUGGGGGUGCCGCCGGUGCCGCUGGCAGCUGCCGCCGCCGCCUGCUCCGCCAGGCCCUCCUUCAGCCAAUCUGCGAGCGACCCGAGGUCGAGCUCCUCCUCCGCCUCCUCAUGCGCCUCAACCUCAUCCGCCCAGCUACCGCUCGCGCCACCGCUGCUGCUAAUGCUGGCGCGAGGAGCAAUGCUGCUGCUGCUGCUGCUGCUGCUGCUGCUGCUGCUGCUGCUGCCGUCAGACUCUGACGCUGCCGCGGGCACGGCCGGUGCGGCUUCCGCCUGCUGCUGCUCGGCCGCCGCGAGCUCCGCCAGUCCCUGCUUCACCCAGGGCGUCUGCUCAAAGAGGUCGCUCAGGUCGAGUCCGUCAGCCUCAUCCUCAUCAUCAUCGCCCCAUCGCGGCGUGGUCGAGCUGCGGUCGACGGUGGAGGUGGAGAUGGGGCUUGCAGCGGCGGCGGGCUUGGUCGGGGCGGCGGGCUUGGUCGGAGCCGCGAGCUUGGGCACCUUGGGCAGGCCGGGCGGCUUCUGCGGGCGCCAGUGGUUGUCGUAGGCAUGGCAAAGCUGGCAAGGGGCGCUCCUGCAGCCAGCAGAUAGGCUGGCAUAGCACCAGCGCAUGCAGGACUUGUGAGGAAAGCAGCAGGCGCUGGGGGCGGGCUCCUGCUGCUCCUGCUGGUGGGCGGCGGCGGAGGGCUCGCUCUCAUCAGAGCCGUGGCCUUGGCUGCGGGGCGUGUGGCGCCAGGCGUCCUGUGCAAACGAGAUCGGGGGAAAAGGAUAGAUGGGGGCGGACAAGCCGUGAGUGCACGGGACGAGGACAAGGGUCGGGGCGCAGAGGGCGGGAGAAAGGGCCGGGGGUCGGGGGCUCGGGCCCCGGCAAAAAAGUCAGGCGCACCGGAAAGGCACGCGCUUUCGGUCAAAGCUGUUGACCGACGCAUUUUACGAGACAAUACAUGCAGCAAUAUGCAGCCAGUGUGGCCGCAGCAGCGCAAGAAGGAACGCCGAGGAAGCCGAGCGCACUACUGGCCCGAAAUCUGCAACGCUAUCUAGCCCGCAUCAGAAGCCUAAUGCUUUGCAUGUGGCAUCGGAUACCCAUUGCAGCUGCUCAAGGCUCAAAAUGGCCGUGCCCGAACAUGAAUGGUGCUCACCUGCAUCGGUCGGCUCGGCUCGAAGUCAAGCCCCGGUGCACUUGCGAUUGACCGUGAUGUGGCCAUAGUAGCUCUCGACCGCACCAAGCACUCUUCGCGCGCAGAACUCGAUUCUGCUGCUAGCGCAAUUCUUUCGCUUGACGGAAACUUUUCCUCGCGGUGCCCGGGAGGGAUUCGCGCUAGGAGCUGCUAGCUCGUGACAGUGGUGGUGCUUGCCGCAGCUUUCAUGCGCAUGCGGUGGAAAUCGAGAGAGGUCGCGAACAGCCCUAGAAAUGCUCUUCUUUGCCGUCAGGUGCUCGUAGCUAAGCAGUGGGCGUAAAAGCUGUUUGUGAGAUGUCUUUGCAUCUGUUGAAUGUGCAAUAUGAGCACAGCGCGAAGCUUUUAUCCAGUGGCGGGGACAGGGUCUCGGGCGCCCAUGCAGGCGACACGCGCCCAAUCCCGAGCCUCCCACUCCUCGCCUGUACCUUGUCCCUGGACCCGCGCCAUCCGUGUCCCGCUGUUCAAUUCCCGCGUUUCAUACCAGCUCCCCUCCCCUGCGUAGGCCGGUAACCCCUGAUCCCGCCGCUGCCGGGGAUGCAGCCGUGCAGGAUGAGGUUGACGGCUGGGGAAGUUGGUGUGGGGAAGUUGGUGUAGGUUGGCGGUGAUCCAGCGGGGUGGGUGCCGAUGUGCUAUAGCGGGCGCGAGGCUGUACACGUCAGGAUCUGGCGAGUGUACUGCUCAAGCUGGCUUUGUGAUGGCCCCCAAGCGUAGGUGAGGUAGGCGCACGGCGGUGACAAGGCAUGCGGCCAGUGGAACUGCCUUACAGUUACAGCCCGCCCAAGCGCGGUUGUUGCCCUGCCAUGAUUUCCGUGCAGUCUGCUAGCUUCGGCAGGGACGGUGCCCAUCAGUUCCCGAUGUUGACAAACCAUGCAUCCAGCCGCCCACACGUGCUCUUCGUUCGUCACAUACCGUACUCGAACUCCAAUGUCCACAGAGCGUGUGCGCGAAAUCCACACGCCACACACGCAAGUGACAGCCGCCCGUCCUUGCACAGCAAGCAUCUCCGCGCACGGUCGCACGCUUCUCUAGCCCCAACGAACCGCAAACCACAAAUCAAGUCACACCCACCUCAGCAUUAGAAGUGCACACCCGCCUAUCGAAUGUCGGAUGAUGAUAAGGCAACAAGUAGGUCUACUGCACCCAUGCAUGGAUGGAAAGAAUCAAUGGACCUGUGGAUAUAGGAUCCGGCCUUCUCAAGGGUCCUCGCGCAUUUACUAAAGAGCCAAGGGGUCUAGUAUGUAAGAAUCAAUGCCAGUCUCAAGUCAAGCACACUGCUGCCGCUUCCUGGCAUCUGGAAUGCCGGAAGGGUCGGAGGAACUUGCACCCACAGAACGUACACGUCGUGUCACUGACAGCCCACUCGAGUCUUGUAAACAGUAAGAAUAGUGCCCGCUCCUGCAGCGAGCCAAGAUACGGUAACCUCGAUACUUCUUUGUGUCUCACCGCGGUACGCGCACAGACAUUAAUCUGCGGGCUCCCUCUCCGCACUCCUUCUGUCACUCCCGUGCGUCAGGUCGUUUCCGACGUCGCCUCCACUCCAUCUCCUACGUCCCAUGACUCACCUGUAGCCCCAGGCAGCCCUGCGUCCAUUGGCACAGCGCCCCUCGCCACCUGCCACCCUCUCGCUCAGCAAAUGAACGCACGCACGAUAGCAAAACACCAGCAGUCCGUAGUAUGGCCAAGGGGGGCUGCCGGUUCCCCGGUCCCAUACAGUCACACAUACAUCUUAUUAAGAAACAUCAGCAGGGUUUAUUUGGCGAGUCUCAGUAGAGAAAUAGACAUCCCUACAUCACCCAAUGCGCAUGGCAAUAUCGCACUGAGUGCUUGCUUGCGCAAGCAAUCCAGCAUCAAGUGCGGCCUUUGACACUCCCGCUCGCUCACAUACGGUGUAUUAUCAGUACAGCACGGCAACACUCGCGCGAAUCAGUCCUGUCUCCUGCGGUAAACGCCGACUACCGUAGCACGCCCUGCUGUCGUGCUGACAAUGAGAAAUGUGCGGCGGCACAGCCCUGCUGGUUCACUUGAUAGUGGGCCCGAUCAGUAGCUAGUAGCGGCGAUUUGCCUAGCCGUCUAUACUUGCACGCAUACGCUGCGGGUGUGCCUCACAUACCAUAAUACCCAGUGCUGCUUCUUUCGCAUAUAACACACGCUCAGCAUGCCCUGCUGGCUCACUUCGAUACUGUACCAUCCACACACGUACGUGUGACGAGCCCCUGUUGCAAAAGGCCGCCGGCACCACAGCUGCGGCUGCUGCGGCUGCUGCUGCCGCUGCUACUGCUGCAUCUUCAAAUGGCGAAGGCAGCAAGCCGCUGGCUGCUGGGCUCAUGCAGCUGACGGCGUAACACGGAAUGAAGCCAAACGGAACGGAGCGGCCCUUGCCGCUACCAGGCCGCCACCGCUGCCGGUGGCGGGAAGCAGCCGCACGCGCGCUCCAACGCGGCAAACUCCUCCAGCUCCCGCUCCUGCUCGGCCCACGCCGCCGCCGCCAGCUCGAUCGCCAGGCGCAGGCGCGAGGGCAUCACAGCUGACUGCCACUCAUCACCCUGCUGCACUGCCGCAAUUGGCGGAACGACACAGCUGCCCAUGCUGCUGCCGGCGGCGGUGCAGGCCUCCUUGUCAAUGCUCUGCCGCUCCGCUGCCACCUCCACCGCCUCCACCUGCUGCGGCGUCUCACUGCCUGCCGCCGCCGCCACCCAGACCAGACUGCAGCUGCUGGCGCUGCGGCUGGUGCGGGCGCUGUCCGGCACGGCGCAGCAGCACGAGCUGAGCGGCGAGUCAGGCGCGUCCGGCCGCUCAGUGACAACGGCCACCUCCUGCUCCGCUUCGGCCGCCGCCGGCACGCACUCGCCCUGGGCCUCUGCUUUCCCCAUCGCCGCCAGCUCCGCCGCCAUCCAGGGCGACAGCGAGGCGAGGUAGGCGCCGAAAUCGUCGGCCUCCUCCUCCUCGACGUCAUCCGCCCAGCGGCGGCCGCUGGGGGUGCCGCCGGUGCCGCUGGCAGAUCCCGCCGCCGCCUGCUCCGCCAGGCCCUCCUUCAACCAAUCUGCAAGCGACCCGAGGUCGAGCUCCUCCUCCUCCUCCGCCUCCUCGUGCGCCUCGACUUCAUCCGCCCAGCUACCGCUCGCGCCACCGCUGCUGCUAAUGCUGGCGCGAGGAGCAAUGCUGCUGCUGCUACUGCUGCUGCUGCUGCCGUCAGACUCUGACGCUGCCGCGGGCGCGGCCGGUGCGGCUUCCGCCUGCUGCUGCUCGGCCGCCGCGAGCUCCGCCAGUCCCUGCUUCACCCAGGGCGUCUGCUCAAAGAGGUCGCUCAGGUCGAGUCCGUCAGCCUCAUCCUCAUCAUCAUCGCCCCAUCGCGGCGUGGUCGAGCUGCGGUCGACGGUGGAGGUGGAGAUGGGGCUGGCAGCGGCGGCGGGCUUGGUCGGGGCGGCGGGCUUGGUCGGAGCCGCGAGCUUGGGCACCUUGGGCAGGCCGGGCGGCUUCUGCGGGCGCCAGUGGUUGUCGUAGGCAUGGCAAAGCUGGCAGGGGGCGCUCCUGCAGCCAGCAGAUAGGCUGGCAUAGCACCAGCGGAUGCAGAACUUGUGGGGAAAGCAGCAGGCGCUGGGGCCGGGCUCCUGCUGCUCCUGCUGGUGGGCGGCGGCGGAGGGCUCGCUCUCAUCAGAGCCAUGGCCUUGGCUGCGGGGCGUGUGGCGCCAGGCGUCCUGUGCAAACGAGAUCGGGGGAAAGGAUAGAUGGGGGCGGACAAGCCGUGAGUGCACGGGACGAGGACAAGGGUCGGGGCGCAGAGGGCGGGACAAAGGGCCGGGGGUCGGGGGCUCGAGCCCCGGCAAAAAAGUCAGGCGCACCGGAAAGGCACGCGCUUUCGGUCAAAGCUGUUGACCGACGCAUUUUACGAGACAAUACAUGCAGCAAUAUGCAGCCAGUGUGGCCGCAGCAGCGCAAGAAGGAAGGCUGAGGAAGCAGAGCGCACUACUGACCCGAAAUCUGCAACGCUAUAUAGCCCGCAUCCGAAGCCUAAUGCUUUGCAUGUGGCAUCAGAUACCCAUUGCAGCUGCUCAAGGCUCAAAAUGGCCGUGCCCGAACAUGAAUGGUGCUCACCUGCAUCGGUCGGCUCGGCUCGAAGUCAAGCCCCGGUGCACUUGCAAUUGACCGUGAUGUGGCCAUAGUAGCUCUUGACCGCACCAAGCACUCUUCGCGCGCAGAACUCGAUUCUGCUGCUAGCGCAAUUCUUUCGCUUGAUGGAGUUUCCUCGCGGUGCCCGGGAGGGAUUCGCGCUAGAAGCUGCUAGUUCGUGAUAGUGGUGGUGCUUGCCGCAGCGUUCAUGCGCAUGCGGUGGAAAUCGAGAGAGGUCGCGAACAGCCCUAGAAAUGCUCUUCUUUGCCGUCGAUAAGCUCAGGUGCUCGUAGCUAAGCAGUGGGCGUAAAAGCUGUUUGCGGGAUGUCUUUGCAUCUGUUGAUUGUGCAAUAUGAGCACAGCGCGAGAAGCUUUUAUCCGGUGGCGGGGACAGGGUCUCGGGCGCCCAUGCAGGCGACACGCGCCUAAUCCCGAGCCUCCCUCCUCGCCUUUACCUUGUCCCUGGACCCGCGCCAUCCGUGCCCCGCUGUUCACUUCCCUCGUUUCAUACCAGUUCCCCUCCCCUGCGUAGGCCGGUAACCCCUGAUCCCGCCGCUGCCAGGGAUGCAGCUGUGCAGGAUGAGGUUGACGGCUGUGGAUUGCAUUGGUUACAAGAGGGACCUGCUGACGCAGUUCACGAGCCAGUGACGUGUGGAAGUUGGUGUAGGUUGGCGGUGAUCCAGCGGGGUGGGUGCCGAUGUGCUAUAGUGGGCGCGAGGCUGUACACGUCAGGACCUGGCGAGUGUACUGCUAAAGCUGACUUUGUGAUGGCCCCCAAGCGUAGGUGAGGUAGGCGCACGGUGGUGACAAGGCAUGCGGCCAGUGGAACUGCCUUACAGUUACAGCCCGCCCAAGCGCGGUUGUUGCCCUGCCAUGAUUUCCGUGGAGUCUCUAGCUCCGGCAGGGACGGUCCCCAUCAGUUCCCGUAGUGGACCAUGCAUCCAGCCGCCCACACGUGCUCUCCGUUCGUCACAUACAGUACUCGAACUCCAAUGUCCACAGAGCGUGUGCGCGAAGUCCACACGCCACACACGCAAGUGGCAGCCGCCCGUCCUUGCACAGCAAGCAUCUCCGCGCACGGUCGCACGCUUCACUAGCCCCAACGAACCGCCUACCACAAAUCAAGUCACACCCACCUCAGCAUUAGGAGUGCACAUCCGCCUGUCGAAUGUCGGAUGAUGAUAGGGCAACAAGUAGGUCUAGAGAAAUGAAAGCUAGUAGGUCUACUGCACCCAUGCAUGGAUGGAAAGAAUCAAUGGACCUUUGGAUAUAGGAUCCGGCCUUCUCAAGGGUCCUCGCGCAUUUACUAAAGAGCCAAGGGGUCUAGUAUGUAAGAAGCAAUGCCAGUCUCAAGUCAAGCACACUGCUGCCGCUUCCUGGCAUCUGGAAUGCCGGAAGGGUCGGAGGAACUUGCACCCACAGAACGUACACGUCGUGUCACUGACAGCCCACUCGAGUCUUGUAAACAGUAGAAAUCGUGCCCGCUCCUGCAGCGAGCCAAGAUACGGUAACCUCGAUACUUCUUUGUGUCUCACCGCGGUACGCGCACAGACAUUAAUCUGCGGGCUCCCUCUCCGCACUCCUUCUGUCACUCCCGUGCGUCAGGUCUUCUCCGACGUCGCCUCCACUCCAUCUCCUACGUCCCAUGACUCACCUGUAGCCCCAGGCAGCCCUGCGUCCAUUGGCACAGCGCCCCUCGCCACCUGCCACCCUCUCGCUCAGCAAAUAAACGCACGCGCGAUAGCAAAACACCAGCAGUCCGUAGUAUGGCCAAGGGGGGCUGCCGGUUCCCCGGUCCCAUACAGUCACACAUACAUCUUAUUAAGAAAAAUCAGCAAGGUUUAUUUGGCGAGUCUCAGUAGAGAAAUAGACAUCCAUACAUCACCCAAUGCGCAUGGCAAUAUCGCACAGAGUGCUUGCUUGCGCAAGCAAUCCAGCAUCAAGUACGGCCUUUGACACUCCCGCUCGCUCACAUACGGUGUAAUAUCAGUACAGCACGGCAACACUCGCGCGAAUCAGUCCUGUGUCCUGCGGUAAACGCCGACUACCGUAGCACGCCCUGCUGUCGUGCUGACAAUGAGAAAUGUGCGGCGGCACAGCCCUGCUGGUUCACUUGAUAGUGAAUGGGCCCGAUCAGUAGCUAGUAGCGGCGAUUUGCCUAGCUGUCUAUACUUGCACGCAUACGCUGCGGGUGUGCCUCACAUACCAUAAUACCCAGUGCUGCUUCUUUCGCAUUUAACACACGCUCAGCAUGCCCUGCUGGCUCACUUCGAUACUGUGCCAUCCACACACGUACGUGUGACGAGCCCCUCUUGCGAACGGCCGUCGGCACCACAGCUGCGGCGGCUGCGGCUGCGGCUGCUGCUGCUCCUGCUGCUGCUACUGCUACUGCUGCAUCUUCAAGUGGCGAAGGCAGCAAGCCGCUGGCUGCUGGGCUCAUGCAGCUGACGGCGUAACACGGAAGCCAAACGGAACGGAGCGGCCCUUGCCGCUACCAGGCCGCCACCGCUGCCGGUGGCGGGAAGCAGCCGCACGCGCGCUCCAACGCGGCAAACUCCUCCAGCUCCCGCUCCUGCUCGGCCCACGCCGCCGCCGCCAGCUCGAUCGCCAGGCGCAGGCGCGAGGGCAUCACAGCUGACUGCCACUCAUCACCCUGCUGCACUGCCGCGAUUGGCGGAACGACACAGCUGCCCAUGCUGCUGCCGGCGGCGGUGCAGGCCUCCUUGUCAAUGCUCUGCCGCUCCGCUGCCACCUCCACCGCCUCCACCUGCUGCGGCGUCUCACUGCCUGCCGCCGCCGCCACCCAGACCAGACUGCAGCUGCUGGCGCUGCGGCUGGUGCGGGCGCUGUCCGGCACGGCGCAGCAGCACGAGCUGAGCGGCGAGUCAGGCGCGUCCGGCCGCUCAGUGACAACGGCCACCUCCUGCUCCGCUUCGGCCGCCGCCGGCACGCACUCGCCCUGGGCCUCUGCUUUCCCCAUCGCCGCCAGCUCCGCCGCCAUCCAGGGCGACAGCGAGGCGAGGUAGGCGCCGAAAUCGUCGGCCUCCUCCUCCUCGACGUCAUCCGCCCAGCGGCGGCCGCUGGGGGUGCCGCCGGUGCCGCUGGCAGAUCCCGCCGCCGCCUGCUCCGCCAGACCCUCCUUCAACCAAUCUGCAAGCGACCCGAGGUCGAGCUCCUCCUCCUCCUCCGCCUCCUCGUGCGCCUCGACUUCAUCCGCCCAGCUACCGCUCGCGCCACCGCUGCUGCUAAUGCUGGCGCGAGGAGCAAUGCUGCUGCUGCUACUGCUGCUGCUGCUGCCGUCAGACUCUGACGCUGCCGCGGGCGCGGCCGGUGCGGCUUCCGCCUGCUGCUGCUCGGCCGCCGCGAGCUCCGCCAGUCCCUGCUUCACCCAGGGCGUCUGCUCAAAGAGGUCGCUCAGGUCGAGUCCGUCAGCCUCAUCCUCAUCAUCAUCGCCCCAUCGCGGCGUGGUCGAGCUGCGGUCGACGGUGGAGGUGGAGAUGGGGCUGGCAGCGGCGGCGGGCUUGGUCGGGGCGGCGGGCUUGGUCGGAGCCGCGAGCUUGGGCACCUUGGGCAGGCCGGGCGGCUUCUGCAGGCGCCAGUGGUUGUCGUAGGCAUGGCAAAGCUGGCAGGGGGCGCUCCUGCAGCCAGCAGAUAGGCUGGCAUAGCACCAGCGGAUGCAGGACUUGUGGGGAAAGCAGCAGGCGCUGGGGCCGGGCUCCUGCUGCUCCUGCUGGUGGGCGGCGGCGGAGGGCUCGCUCUCAUCAGAGCCAUGGCCUUGGCUGCGGGGCGUGUGGCGCCAGGCGUCCUGUGCAAACGAGAUCGGGGGAAAGGAUAGAUGGGGGCGGACAAGCCGUGAGUGCACGGGACGAGGACAAGGGUCGGGGCGCAGAGGGCGGGAGCAAGGGCCGGGGGUCAGGGGCUCGAGCCCCGGCAAAAAAAUCAGGCACACACCGGAAAGGCACGCGCUUUCGGUCAAAGCUGUUGACCGACGCAUUUUACGAGACAAUACAUGCAGCAAUAUGCAGCCAGUGUGGCCGCAGCAGCGCAAGAAGGAAGGCCGAGGAAGCCGAGCGCACUACUGGCCCGAAAUCUGCAACGCUAUAUAGCCCGCAUCCGAAGCCUAAUGCUUUGCAUGUGGCAUCAGAUACCCAUUGCAGCUGCUCAAGGCUCAAAAUGGCCGUGCCCGAACAUGAAUGGUGCUCACCUGCAUCGGUCGGCUCGGCUCGAAGUCAAGCCCCGGUGCACUUGCAAUUGACCGUGAUGUGGCCAUAGUAGCUCUUGACCGCACCAAGCACUCUUCGCGCGCAGAACUCGAUUCUGCUGCUAGCGCAAUUCUUUCGCUUGAUGGAGUUUCCUCGCGGUGCCCGGGAGGGAUUCGCGCUAGAAGCUGCUAGUUCGUGAUAGUGGUGGUGCUUGCCGCAGCGUUCAUGCGCAUGCGGUGGAAAUCGAGAGAGGUCGCGAACAGCCCUAGAAAUGCUCUUCUUUGCCGUCGAUAAGCUCAGGUGCUCGUAGCUAAGCAGUGGGCGUAAAAGCUGUUUGCGAGAUGUCUUUGCAUCUGUUGAUUGUGCAAUAUGAGCACAGCGCGAGAAGCUUUUAUCCGGUGGCGGGGACAGGGUCUCGGGCGCCCAUGCAGGCGACACGCGCCCAAUCCCGAGCCUCCCUCCUCGCCUUUACCUUGUCCCUGGACCCGCGCCAUCCGUGUCCCGCUGUUCACUUCCCGCGUUUCAUACCAGUCCCCCUCCCCUGCGUAGGCCGGUAACCCCUGAUCCCGCCGCUGCCAGGGAUGCAGCUGUGCAGGAUGAGGUUGACGGCUGUGGAAGUUGGUGUGUGAUGGGACAGGGUUCAGGCAGGUUGGCGAGGUCCCAUAGGGUGCAGCUGACGCCCGUACCCCAAGCAGACAGCAAACAGUUUGCAGCGGCAGAGCAGGAGUGCAUGGCUGGUCGAACGCCGGAGUUACUGUACCGACAAGUUGCUGGCUGGCUGGAAGUUGGUGUAGGUUGGCGGUGAUCCAGCGGGGUGGGUGCCGAUGUGCUAUAGCGGGCGCGAGGCUGUACACGUCAGGACCUGGCGAGUGUACUGCUAAAGCUGGCUUUGUGAUGGCCCCCAAGCGUAGGUGAGGUAGGCGCACGGUGGUGACAAGGCAUGCGGCCAGUGGAACUGCCUUACAGUUACAGCCCGCCCAAGCGCGGUUGUUGCCCUGCCAUGAUUUCCGUGGAGUCUGCUAGGCAGUCGGCAGGGACGGUGCCCAUCAGUUCCCGAAGUGGACAAACCAUGCAUCCAGCCGCCCACACGUGCUCUCCGUUCGUCACAUACAGUACUCGAACUCCAAUGUCCACAGAGCGUGUGCGCGAAGUCCACACGCUACACACGCAAGUGGCAGCCGCCCGUCCUUGCACAGCAAGCAUCUCCGCGCACGGUCGCACGCUUCACUAGCCCCAACGAACCGCCUACCACAAAUCAAGUCACACCCACCUCAGCAUUAGGAGUGCACAUCCGCCUGUCGAAUGUCGGAUGAUGAUAGGGCAACAAGUAGGUCUAGAGAAAUGAAAGCUAGUAGGUCUACUGCACCCAUGCAUGGAUGGAAAGAAUCAAUGGACCUGUGGAUAUAGGAUCCGGCCUUCUCAAGGGUCCUCGCGCAUUUACUAAAGAGCCAAGAGGUCUAGUAUGUAAGAAUCAAUGCCAGUCUCAAGUCAAGCACACUGCUGCCGCUUCCUGGCAUCUGGAAUGCCGGAAGGGUCGGAGGAACUUGCACCCACAGAACGUACACGUCGUGUCACUGACAGCCCACUCGAGUCUUGUAAAC
Molecule: long non-coding RNA, 22062 nt
Filed under: Chlamydomonas reinhardtii
Lineage: Eukaryota; Viridiplantae; Chlorophyta; Chlorophyceae; Chlamydomonadales; Chlamydomonadaceae
Description: long non-coding RNA (CREI_LNC000725)
Source: RNAcentral